This 240-nucleotide unclassified non-coding RNA is filed under the name soil metagenome. RNAcentral's name for it is "partial contains 5.8S ribosomal RNA, internal transcribed spacer 2, and large subunit ribosomal RNA". The record is from RNAcentral.
AACCUAGCACACCUGCGGUGUGUACCUGCGGAAGGAUCAUUAACCUUUCAAAUCAGGGUGCGGCGCGGCCCCCGAGGAGCGGAAACAAUCCUUGGGAGGUAUGCGGGGGCUUCGAGCCCCCCAUUUACGCACGCACGACUGCCAUCCUUACUUUACGAGCACCUUCUGUUCUCCCUCGGCGGGGCAACCUGCCGUUGGAACCGAAUAAACUCUUUUUGCAUCUAGCAUUACCCGUUCCGA